Molecule: ribosomal RNA, 264 nt
Filed under: uncultured bacterium
Lineage: Bacteria
Description: partial 16S ribosomal RNA
Rfam family: Bacterial small subunit ribosomal RNA
Source: RNAcentral
GCAAGUCGAACGCGAAAGCCACUUCGGUGGUGAGUAGAGUGGCGCACGGGUGAGUAACACGUGGGUAUCGUACCCUUAGGCCUGGGAUAACUCGAGGAAACUCGAGCUAAUACCGGAUGAUACCUCUUUUCGAGAGUUGAGAGGCCAAAGCGGGGGCGAUCUUCGGAUCCCUCGCACCAAAGGAUCGGCCCGCGGCCCAUCAGCUAGUUGGUAAGGUAAUGGCUUACCAAGGCGGAGACGGGUAGCUGGUUUGAGAGAAUGAUC